UUAGAGAAACAGGCCUCGAACCUGCACCAAAGAGCUCAAAACCCUCUGUACUCCCAAUAUACUAUUCCCU
This 70-nucleotide transfer RNA is filed under the name Madascincus mouroundavae (Morondaya skink). RNAcentral's name for it is "tRNA-Gln". The record is from RNAcentral. Lineage: Eukaryota; Metazoa; Chordata; Lepidosauria; Squamata; Scincidae.